RNAcentral lists this ribosomal RNA (253 nucleotides) under uncultured bacterium. Its description in RNAcentral is "partial 16S ribosomal RNA". It matches the Rfam family "Bacterial small subunit ribosomal RNA", at positions 524 to 776 of the family's 1533-position model. The record is from RNAcentral.
UACGAAGGGGGCUAGCGUUGCUCGGAAUCACUGGGCGUAAAGCGCACGUAGGCGGCUUUCUAAGUCAGGGGUGAAAUCCUGGAGCUCAACUCCAGAACUGCCUUUGAUACUGGAGAGCUUGAGUCCGGAAGAGGUGAGUGGAACUCCGAGUGUAGAGGUGAAAUUCGUAGAUAUUCGGAAGAACACCAGUGGCGAAGGCGGCUCACUGGUCCGGUACUGACGCUGAUGUGCGAAAGCGUGGGUAGCGAACAGG